CAGAGCACGGGCAGAUAAAUGCAUACUGAUCUAUAUUAUAUUUUAUGUAUAAAGUUUUAACAUGUUAAAUACAAAAAAUCAUGUUAAGAAAUAAUGUAACGAUAUUUAAACUAUCUCUAAGAUGUUGACAUUACAAGUUUAUUAAAAAGUUUAUUUAAAAAGUGCUAAUUGAUUCCUUGCUGAAAAAGAUAAACUGAGAAGCCUUUUCUUUUUUUUCGCUGAGCUAAUUGUGGAAAGACAUGAUAGAUCUUAACAUCGGAAAAAGCCAGAAGGUCUGCUGCAUAUGGCAAAAUUUAUCAUUUGAAGGCUAAGGAGAAAAAGUUAUCAACUGGUAAUAUGGCUGAUGUUCAAUAGUGAAGAGGUGAAGCUUAGCCUUGCAAACGCAAAAUUUGAUCUUACUUUUGAGUGGCGCAA
Drosophila bipectinata is the source of this 414-nucleotide long non-coding RNA. RefSeq lists it as uncharacterized. The record is from RefSeq and is a predicted model, not a curated record. NCBI's taxonomy places the organism in Eukaryota, Metazoa, Arthropoda, Insecta, Diptera, Drosophilidae.